Molecule: transfer RNA, 75 nt
Filed under: Variovorax sp. RKNM96
Lineage: Bacteria; Pseudomonadati; Pseudomonadota; Betaproteobacteria; Burkholderiales; Comamonadaceae
Description: tRNA-Thr
Rfam family: tRNA
About the family: Transfer RNA (tRNA) molecules are approximately 80 nucleotides in length. Their secondary structure includes four short double-helical elements and three loops (D, anti-codon, and T loops).
Source: RNAcentral
UCCGGGGUAGUUCAGUGGCAGAACACUCGGCUUGUUACCGAGAAGGCGCUGGUUCAACCCCAGCCCCCGGACCCA